Molecule: long non-coding RNA, 893 nt
Filed under: Vigna radiata
Lineage: Eukaryota; Viridiplantae; Streptophyta; Magnoliopsida; Fabales; Fabaceae
Description: long non-coding RNA (VRAD_LNC003040)
Source: RNAcentral
AAGAACACAAAUCACAGGAAAAUUCAACACAACGAAAAUAUCAAUUGCUCAACACAAAUNAACAUCACAGAAUUUUUAUUAAAACGAACAGAAAAUACAAGAAUGUACCAAAGAAGAACAAGCAAGAACAUGAGAACUGGAAUCUACCGGAAACGAUAAAACCCUAGAUUCUCGCGUCGCUCUCUAAGAAAUGGAAAAUGUUUUUUUUUCUUGAAAGUGUAUCCGUCCAAGUCUAUGUACAAAAACCCCUUUUAUAUAGGGUCCAAAACUAGAACGAAGAAAGAAAAAAUCUGGAGAAGAGAAACCUUCACUUGGACGCUUCCUGCUCUUGAUCCAGCGGUCACUGUUCAUUUGCUUCGAGCUUGCUCUUCCAGCCAUUUGAUCCUCCACGUGGCACUCCGGUCAGCUCUUCUCUCUCACCGGUUCAGCUCCGGUCACGUACUCUCACCUCUUGCUUCUCUCAUUCUCUCGUGAACCCUAGCCCGAGGGUAUUCUCUUCUCUUCUCUUCAAAAAAAUAUGUCUCGAGCAUUGACCCCCAAAAGCUUCCACUGCCAAGACACCAAACUCACCGUUUCAUUAAAGGAGGGUCGGCCCAAUCCAAUACUCUACUUUAGUUCAGCACCGCUUCAUUAAACAACGCUGCAGCAGUGCAAUUUAGAAUCAAGUUCAGCAUUCUAGGGCCCAAGUGUUUUUCCAGCCCAAUUGAAUUUCUGCAGUGCAGCGACAGUUCAUUUAAUUCCAGCAGCAGCAGUUCAGCGGUGCAAAACAGCUCGGCAGCAGCAAUGCGUCAAACAGCAGCAACGGCCCAAUCCCAGCGGCCCAAACUAUUGCUCACAUAUUCAACCCUGCAGAGAAAACAAAUGNAAUUUAAUUUCCAAAAAUACGAAUUCCC